Molecule: ribosomal RNA, 163 nt
Filed under: uncultured bacterium
Lineage: Bacteria
Description: partial 16S ribosomal RNA
Rfam family: Bacterial small subunit ribosomal RNA
Source: RNAcentral
GGAAGUCUUCGGCAAUGGACGAAAGUCUGACCGAGCAACGCCGCGUGAGUGAAGAAGGUUUUCGGAUCGUAAAACUCUGUUGGUAGAGAAGAACGUUGGUGAGAGUGGAAAGCUCAUCAAGUGACGGUAACUACCCAGAAAGGGACGGCUAACUACGUACCAG